UACGGAGGGCGCAAGCGUUAUCCGGAUUCACUGGGUUUAAAGGGUGCGUAGGUGGGUUUGUAAGUCAGUGGUGAAAUCUCCAAGCUUAACUUGGAAACUGCCGUUGAUACUAUAAAUCUUGAAUGUUGUGGAGGUGAGCGGAAUAUGUCAUGUAGCGGUGAAAUGCUUAGAUAUGACAUAGAACACCAAUUGCGAAGGCAGCUCACUACACAAAGAUUGACACUGAGGCGCGAAAGCGUGGGGAGCAAACAGG
This 253-nucleotide ribosomal RNA is filed under the name uncultured bacterium. RNAcentral's name for it is "partial 16S ribosomal RNA". It matches the Rfam family "Bacterial small subunit ribosomal RNA", at positions 524 to 776 of the family's 1533-position model. The record is from RNAcentral.